This is a long non-coding RNA of Manis pentadactyla (Chinese pangolin), 1621 nucleotides long. RefSeq lists it as uncharacterized. The transcript has 2 exons. NCBI's taxonomy places the organism in Eukaryota, Metazoa, Chordata, Mammalia, Pholidota, Manidae. The record is from RefSeq and is a predicted model, not a curated record.
GCGGCGGGCGGCCGACUCCAACGUUGAGCGCAGGCCGGCGGGCGGGUGGUGGCCGCUCCGGACGCUCCAGCUGCACUUGCUCCGGGCGCUGGUGCUCGGGAGAAAUCAGCUGAUAACUUUAUUCCCCGGUAUGUUGUGAUUAAGCAGAGCAAUUCACUUCCGUGGUGGUCUUCCCCGAAAUACACAACUGCAGGCUGAUUUUGAGGAAAACAUUAGACAAACCCAAAUUGGCAGAUCUCUACCAAGUGCCUGACCAACCCUCUUCACAACUACCAUGAUCACAAACAAGGAAAGACUGAGAAACUUUCCCAGACCAGAGGAGACUUAAUGACUAAGUACAGUGUGGUGUCCUAAGUUGAUUCUGAAACAGAAAAGCUAUUCAUGUGAAAAGUGGUGAAAUCCAAUAAAGUCUAUAGCUUACUGAACAGUCAUGUACCAAUAACUUAAUUAGUUUUGACAUAUGUACCAUUGUUAUUUAAGAUGUUAACUUAGGAGAAACUGGAUACUGUCUGCACUACCUUUGCAACUUAAUUUAAAAUCCAAAAUAAAAAGCUAAAAGAAAAUCUUUUCUAAUGUAAGACCGCUACUGGUUCAUUAUAAAGUAUCAAAAUGAAAAAGACCACUCUCAGUGUUGGUGAGGCUGAGGAGUAAUUAGAACUCUCGUACACUUUGAACAUGUGGUUGAACAAGUUGACUUACCAUUUUUGGAAAAUUGUUUAGCAGUAUCUAAUAAAGUUGGAUUGGUGGACCUCCCUAUGACUCUGCUAUUUCAGACCUAGUUAAACAAGGUCUUUCUCAUCACAAAAGGGUAUGUUUACUCACCAAAAGACAUCACGGCAUCCCUAUAAUCUAUUAGUCCCAAGUUGGAAACAGCUCAAAUAUCCAUUGAUGAUAAAGUGGCAAAUAAAUGGUGGUAUAUUCAAACAAUAUAAUGCUUUACAACAAUGAACUUGAACUGACUUGCAACCAAAAACACCUUAGAAGAAACUACAAAAUAGAACGUGUAGGGAUGUUCACAUCCCCAUCUUCCAUGGUGGGGUGGUGAGAGAUAAAGGCUGGACCAUCUGGGUCAAGCAAAUGUAGGAUUGAGUGUAUCUGUGGCCCUCUGCAGUGCGCCCCCAAAUCCAUCCUGAGUCAAACACACCAGUACAGGGGCUUGGCAAAUUGUUUCCGCCGCCACUCAAUUUUUUUUUUUUGUAUCACGUAAAUGCUCGCUUAUAUUACACAACAAUAGCAACUCACCAUUCACAGUCUUUAAGGUCAAGCCUGAAGAUUUUAAUUAGGUGUAUAGCAAAACCACAAAGAAAAAAGUGUUUUCCAAAUAAACCUUUUGAAAUGAGUAAAGAACUAUAUCAUUGCCUGUAGAUGAUGUAUUUCAAUUCAGUGUUAAAUAGACUGUGUGUAUUUACUCAAGACUUAAAUCAGUAUAGAUCUAAAAAGGAAUUAGUCAUUGUAUCUAACAAUAAUCUGUCUCAUAAAUUGUAAUGUUCUCUGUAGGGCUUGUCUGUUUGAUUUUACUUGAGGCAAGAAUUUCAAAUUGUAUACCUAAAAAGAUAACAGAUAUAAUUAUCUAAAUCUAGAACAACUGAAAAUGUUUCACCCAAAUAAUUGGAUAUUUUUG